GCUUACGGCCAUAUCGCUCUGGCUCUGCCUGAUCUCAGAAGCUAAGCAGAGUAGGGCCUGGUUAGUACUUGGAUGGAAGACCGCCUGGGAAUCCCAGGAAGAAAAAGAU
This is a ribosomal RNA of Gasterosteus aculeatus (three-spined stickleback), 109 nucleotides long. The record is from Rfam. Lineage: Eukaryota; Metazoa; Chordata; Actinopteri; Perciformes; Gasterosteidae.